RNAcentral lists this non-coding RNA (30 nucleotides) under Homo sapiens (human). The record is from RNAcentral. Lineage: Eukaryota; Metazoa; Chordata; Mammalia; Primates; Hominidae.
UAGGUGAUGGGGUAACCUUACAGUUCGGAU